GUGCUCGCUUCAACACAUAGACUAAAAUUGGAAUGAUAUAGAGAUUAGCAUGGCUCCUGCACAAGGAUGACAUGCAAAUUCGUGAAGCAUUCCAUAUUUAA
Small nuclear RNA from Mustela putorius furo (domestic ferret), 101 nucleotides. NCBI's taxonomy places the organism in Eukaryota, Metazoa, Chordata, Mammalia, Carnivora, Mustelidae. The record is from Ensembl.